Molecule: ribosomal RNA, 427 nt
Filed under: uncultured bacterium
Lineage: Bacteria
Description: partial 16S ribosomal RNA
Rfam family: Bacterial small subunit ribosomal RNA
Source: RNAcentral
GUGGGGAAUAUUGGGCAAUGGGGGAAACCCUGACCCAGCAACGCCGCGUGAAGGAAGAAGGCUUUCGGGUUGUAAACUUCUUUUAUGAGGGACGAAGAAGUGACGGUACCUCAUGAAUAAGCCACGGCUAACUACGUGCCAGCAGCCGCGGUAAUACGUAGGUGGCAAGCGUUGUCCGGAUUUACUGGGUGUAAAGGGCGCGUAGGCGGGAUAGCAAGUCAGGUGUGAAAUCCGGGGGCUUAACCCUCGAACUGCACUUGAAACUGUUAUUCUUGAGUGAUGGAGAGGCAAGCGGAAUUCCUAGUGUAGCGGUGAAAUGCGUAGAUAUUAGGAGGAACACCAGUGGCGAAGGCGGCUUGCUGGACAUUAACUGACGCUGAGGCGCGAAAGCGUGGGGAGCAAACAGGAUUAGAUACCCGGGUAGUCC